CGGAACACGCAUAGAACCAAAACAAAACCAACAGCAAGAAAACCAUUUUUAAAACUCAACAACAGAAGCUUAACAACACCUAAAAUGCACUACGGUCACAAUGCAAAAAGAAUCACUCGAUUCCGAUAAACGGUUUGAGAGUUAUGGCCUCUGGAAGAUUUAUUUCAAAUUCAAACGAAUUCAAAUUUGAAAAGUGCAAACAUGUGCAAAGUCGGUACUGUGAUAAUGUGCUGAUUUUUGUGAGGUCAUAGGAAAAAGAAUCACCUAAUUUGGACAUAUAGGUUAAAAGAUAUAGCUAGUUGAAGUUUUGGUGAAAAUCUGAAAAUAAAACAAAAGAAAACUCUGUUCAGGAAACACUGUAGCGGUUACUGUGGCGUUUACUGUAGCGGUGCCAAGUGUCAACGCAUGAUUGGCUGGAAAAUUUACAUGCGCGCAUGCUCACCAGCAAAGCAGAGAAAACGGAGGCGGUUCUCUCGCGGGUCUCCGGCGAAGGUGAGGUUACGGGCGGAGGCGGCUUCGAGUUGCGGACGCAGUGGUGAGGUCAAAACGACGACGGGGUGUGCUCUGCGGGCGACGGUGACGACGUGAACAGCCGCUGCUCCGGCGGCGUCGGGUUCACUCGGGCGGCUCGCUCCGCUGCGAUUCCGGCGACAAAAAUAUGUCAGCAAGGUGCGGCAUUGAGCGGAGGGUCGAGGGGAGUGAACGGUGUGGCAGGUGGUGUCCUUACGGUGGCCGAAACGACCAGCGAAUACGGCGGCGGCUCGAGCUCCACCGCGAGAUGCGUUUCGCCCUAGCUGCUCGUGCGGACGAGGAAAGGACGGAGAUGGGCUGCGGUAGGGUUCUUCGGGGCCCUGGGCUCGCGCGUGAUGUACCUGGCACGCACGGGAUCGACCAGGCGCCGGAUCGAUCCGGGUCGGCCUUGGCGUGUGCGCGGCGGCGCGUCCGGCUCGGGGAAGGAGAAAGCGGCGUGGGGCCCACGGUCAGUGGCUGAGGCGAGCUGGCGGAUCAGGUGCGCGUCGGGCACGGGCGGCGCGGCGCGUACCGCUUCGCGUAGAUAGGUGGGCUGGGCGAUGAUAGGCUGCUCGGCCGUGGCCAGUGCGGGGUUAGGUGGGCUGCGGGUGCCGGCAGCUCUGCUGGGCCGCGCAGUGCGCUGCGCUGCGGUUUUCCUUUUGAAUAAACCACAACAGUUAAAAACAAACUAAAAUAAAACAACAUAAUAAAACCUAAAAAAUAUACACACGGUAAAAUAUAUAUACUAUUAAUAUAUACUAUAGGAACAACUAGUUCCUACCUAAUGCAAUUUUUGUAAAAUAAUUUUGAUGCAAUAGGCCAUACAAAACAGCAAUAAAACAAACAAAUAAAAUAUUUUGGAGAUUAAGAAAAAUACCAGAACAUAUCGGAUGAACUGGAAAUAAUAUUCUGGACAUUAUGAACAUUUUUAAAACAGGGGAGAAGUCAUGUUAUCUCCACUCCAAUAAAUUGCAUUUGUUGCAUAAUGAUUCGAAUAUUCAGAAAAAGCAAAUAAUGCAAUAAAAAUAUGAUAUGCAUAUGUAUGAUCUAUUAACAUCCACAUUUAGGAAAAUUGGGAUGUUACAAACCUACCCCCCUUAAGAUGAAUCUCGCCCUCAAGAUUCGGGCUGGCUAGCAAAUAGGUGUGGGUAAUCCUGCCUGAGAUCUUCCUCUCGUUCCCAGGUAGCUUCCUCCUCUGUGUGAUGAUCCCACUGAACCUUGCAUAACUUGAUUGUCUUGGUGCGAGUAAUUCUCUCUGCUGUCUCCAGAAUCUUAACAGGCUUCUCCUCAUAUGUCAAAUCACUCUCCAACUGAAUUGCCUCAAGUGGCACUGUGUCCCUCCAUGGAAUAUCCAUCAUCUCUGCAUGGCACUUCUUCAACUGAGAUACAUGAAACACAUUAUGAACUCCCGACAAGGAUUCUGGCAACUCCAGCUGAUAAGCUACCUCUCCUCUACGCUCCAAGAUCUUGUAAGGCCCCACAAAACAUGGUGCUAACUUACCCUUAAUUCCUAACCUCUUAAUUCCACGAAGUGGUGAAACUCUAAGAUAUGCACGGUCUCCUACCUCAUAUGUCACCUCCUUACAUUUUGCAUCAGCAUAACUCUUCUGCCUGGACUGUGCUAUCUUCAGCCUGUCACGAAUCAACUUGACCUUCUCCUCAGCAUCUCUAAUCAAGUCUGGUCCAAAGAACUGACGUUCUCCAACCUCAUCCCACAUCAACGGUGUCCUGCACUUCCUACCAUACAAUACCUCAAAUGGUGCCAUCUUCAGACUAGCCUGAUAACUGUUAUUAUAUGAGAACUCUGCAUAAGGUAAAUUAUCAUCCCAACUGGACCCAUAGUCCAAAGCACAAGCUCUCAACAUAUCCUCCAAAAUCUGAUUUACCCUCUUUGUCUGCCCAUCUGUCUGUGGGUGGAAAGCUGUACUGAACUCCAGCCUGGUGCCCAAGGAUUCAUGCAACUGACGCCAAAAUUUGGAUGUGAACUGAGUACCUCUAUCAGACACUACCUUCCUUGGAACUCCAUGCAGACAAACAAUUUUAGACAUAUAAAUCUUUGCUAGCUGAGCACUGGUAUAAGUAGUCUUUACUGGGAUGAAGUGAGCAACUUUAGUCAAACGAUCAACAACUACCCAAAUAGAAUCAUAACCUGAUCGAGUCCUGGGUAGACUUGUAAUGAAAUCCAUACCAAUCUCAUCCCACUUCCAAUCAGGUAUAGGCAAUGGCUGUAACAAACCUGCUGGUCUUUGAUGUUCCGCCUUAACUCUCUGGCACACAUCACAUGUUGCAAUAUAUCCAGCAAUUUCCCUCUUCAGGCUAGGCCACCAAAAUCUUUCCCUCAAAUCCAAAUACAUCUUAGUAUUACCUGGGUGAAUAGAAUAAGGUGAAUCAUGCGCCUCCUGAAGAAUCAACUUCCUGAUAUCUGCAUCUUGAGGUACACAAAUACGCUUCUCAAACCAUAUGGCUCCAUGUUCAUCCUCAUGGAAACCUUCUGCCUUACCUUUAACCAUAUUCUCUUUUAUCUCAGCAAUCUCCUUAUCAUUCUUUUGAGCUUCUCUGAUCCUAUCAAGCAAAGUAGGCUUUACCUCAAGUGUUGCUAAAUAUCCCAUAGGAACCAUCUCCAACCUGAGAUUCCUGAACUGCUCACAUAACUCCGGUGGCAUAUCAUCAAUAUUUAUUGCAUUAGCAUGGCUCCUACGACUCAAUGCAUCAGCAACAACAUUAGCCUUACCAGGAUGAUACUGCACAUUCAAAUCAUAAUCUUUAAUAAGCUCCAACCAUCUCCUCUGCCUGAGGUUCAAAUCCUUUUGAGUAAAAAUAUACUUCAAGCUCUUAUGAUCAGUAAAUAUAUCACAAUGAUUACCAAUAAGAUAUGGCCUCCAAGUUUUCAAUGCAUGCACAACUGAGGCUAGCUCCAAAUCAUGUGUAGGAUAAUUAUGCUCAUGAUUCUUAAGCUAACGUGAAGCAUAUGAAACAACUUUACCUUCCUGCAUCAAAACACUCCCAAGUCCUUGACGAGAAGCAUCACAAUAUACUUGGAAGUCCUUAUGUAUAUCCGGCAGAGUUAAGACUGGUGCUGUAACCAAACGCUGCUUCAACUCCUGAAAACUGGCUUCACAUUCAUCAGUCCAAACAAAUUUCUUUUCUUUCUUCAGCUAUUCAGUCAUAGGCUUUGCAAUCUUAGAAAAGUUCUCAAUAAACCUCCUGUAGUAACCUGCAAGGCCCAAAAAGUUGCGAAUCUCUCCAACUGUCGUGGGUGUCUCCCACUCUGUAACUGCAGCAACCUUAGAUGGAUCAACUGCAACUCCAUUACCUGACACAACAUGUCCAAGGAAAGCUACCUCAUCCAGCCAAAACUCACAUUUGCUGAACUUGGCAUACAACUGAUGUUCCCUCAGUUUCUCCAAUACCAAACGCAGAUGCACCUCAUGCUCUUGCUUAUUCUUGGAGAAUACCAAUAUAUCAUCAAUGAAAACAACCACAAAUUUAUCCAGGAACUCCAUAAACACCUUGUUCAUCAUAUUCAUGAAGUAUGCAGGAGCGUUAGUCAAUCCAAAUGACAUAACAGUAUAUUCAUACAACCCAUACCUCGUAGUAAAAGCAGUCUUUGGAAUAUCUUGCUCACGAAUCUUCAAUUGAUGAUAACCAGAACGGAGAUCAAUCUUAGAAAACACAAUAGCUCCCUCCAACUGGUCAAACAGAUCAUUUAUCAUAGGCAAAGGAUACUUAUUCUUAAUGGGUACCUCAUUCAGAGAACGAUAAUCAACACACAUCCUCAAGGUCCCAUCCUUCUUCUCCACAAACAAAACUGGAGCUCCCCAAGGUGAUGAACUUGGGCAAAUAAAUCCUUGUGCCUGCAAUUCUCUUAUCUGCUUCUUCAAUUCCUCCAACUCUCGAGGUGGCAUUCUAUACGGUCUCUUUGCAAUAGGUCCAGUGCCUAGUAUUAAAUCAAUAAGAAACUCAAUAUCUCUAUCUGGUGGCAUACCUGGCAACUCCUCUGGAAACACAUCUGGAUAAUCCCUCAUGACUGGCACCUCUUCCAGGCUACCCCCCUUAAGAGAGUUCACUUGCACCUGAUUACGCUUAUACUUACACACAUAUUUGAUCCUCUUCCCUCCUGGUGCACUGAGAGUGAUAGACCGACUAGCACAAUCAAUACGACCUUUAUAUAACUGCAACCAAACCAUACCCAAAAUAAUAUCCAGACCUUGUGACUUUAAUAUAAUCAAAUCUGUAGGAAACUCAUGCUUCCCAAUAGACAACGCCAACUGAUGACAACCAACACCUGCUAUCAUCUCAGCUCCUGGGGAACUCACUCUAAUAGGCAUACUAAGUGUUUUGGUUGGCAAUCCAUGUUUAUCAACAAAUACCCUCGAAAUGAAUGAAUGCGAUGCACCAGUAUCAAAAAGAACAACUGCAGGUACUGAAUUAAUCAAGAACUUACCAAUCACUACAUCAGGUUCAUUGUAAACCUCCUCCACAUUAACAUGAUUUACAUGACCCUUUUGGAAGGGGUUUGGCUUGCUGGAUCUUGAGUUCUUCGCCCCUGGGCAAUCUGUGGCAUAGUGCCCCAUAGCCUUACACCUGAAGCACUGCACCUGACUCAAAUCCCUUGGCGCACGUGUAACCUGGUGGUUCUGGUUAUUGUUCCCUCCAUUGCCAUUGCCAUUAGCAUUAGCAUUACCAUUACCAUUACCUCUGCCAUUGCCAUUGUUACUCUUGUGCCCAUUAUGAUGAUGGUGGCCAUUAUGGUUGUGGCCAUUCCCUCCAUGAUGAUUAUGAUCAUUACCUCCAUGAUGAUUAUGAUGCCCAUUACCUCCAUUACCAUGAUAUGAAGUGCGUGGCUUCUGCUGUGGUCCUGAAUUAUACCUGUUAUUGUUGUUGUACUUCCUCUUGCGAUUCUCUAUGGCCUGUUGCUUUCCCUCCAGCACAAUAGCCUUAUUAAUCAGGUCCUGACAAUUCCUAAAAGUGGCCACUGUCAACUGAAGGCUCAACUCAUCAUUAAGGCCCUCCAAGAAUUUCUCCUGCCUAGCUGCAUCAGUGUUAACAUUAUUAGGAGCAUAACGUGCAAGAUUAUUAAAUUCCUCCACAUACGCAUUAACUGUGCGACCUCCCAGGUGCAAACUGCGGAACUCCUUCUUUUUCAGACUCAUAGCACCAGCAGACACAUGUGCAGCACGAAAAGCAUCCUAAAACUGAGGCCAUGUGAUAGUAGCAAUGGGAUAAGUGACCAAGUAGUUGUCCCACCAAGCUGCAGCAGGACCCUCCAACAAAUGUGAGGCAAACCUCACCCUCUCUGCAUCAGUGCAUCCAACCGUCUCCAGGUUCCUAUUAACUGCACGGAGCCAAUCAUCAGCCACAAUAGGUUCAGGGGAACUGGAGAACCUCUGAGGAUUCAACCUCAAGAACCUGGUAAGCAUAUCCACUGGUGGCGGCGGCGGCGGAUUGUUGUUGUUCUGGUUCUGGACAAGCAACUGGAUCAACUGAGCCUGUCCCUGAAGCAACUGCUGCAUGUAUGGCGGUACAUCAUUGCCAUUGUUGUCUCCUCCUGCAGCAUUACGCCUAUUAUCACACCUCGGCGGCAUCUGGUGGGCAAGCAUAGAUGAGUUAUAGAUAUAAUAGGGCCAAACGCUAUGUAUAUAUAAAUAUAUUCUACCCAUAUGCAUAAUAUGAUCAAGCCAACAAAACACAACAACGAAUAAUAGCAACAAACAAACAAACAACAAACAAUAUGAUAAUAUUAUAUAUAUAUAUAGUCGAAUAAUUUCGACACUAAGCAAUUUAACAAACAACUACCAAUCAAGCAGACAAUCUAGUAUCUUCAUACCACGAAAGUGGGCAUAAUCAGAUACACUAACACAAUAACGUUGCAAUAUAAAGCGAGCCUGAAUGGUGGUCUCAGCACUAGUUCCUACUUAACUGUUCAAGAUACUUGAGGGGGUUAACUAAUAAACAGCAAGAAGUUUAGCUGGUUUAUAAAAUAAUCUUCACUCCUAUGGCUUUUCUAAUCCAUUUUCUAGGGUCACGUCCUACAGUCAACACACAGCUCUGAUGCCAUCUGUAACGACCACACCUCGAAGGAUUUGAGUCUCUGUGCUUACCGUGCUAGUCCCUGGAUCAAACUCGCUAGCACACACAGUAUAGAUGAAUACCAGAAUAGCAAGUGCAUCAUUUAUUACAACGUAUGAUCCAGAAUAUAUAAAAUAAAACAAUCUGCAUAGCACUUGGCUAGCUUUAUUCAAUCAAACAGCGGAAAGUAGCAGAAAAUAACAAUGAGUCCCAUCAUAGCCCACUGGCGAUGCUGAGUGCAGACUCGCGACCCUAACAGUACCUUACUCUUCGUCUGAAUAUCCUGCAACAUGAGACGUUGCAGCCAUAUAGGUCAAUACUUUGUAUGUAUUGGCAAGUUACACAGGAGUAAUAAUAAAGCAGACCUACAUGUAUAUGUAUAGUAUAACAAAAGGAAGGCUUGGGGGUUUAUUUUUGCAGAAAGCUGAUUUUGUCCUCAUAGCUACCUAAUAGUCAAAUUUUUAUUUAGUUCUUUUAUUACUACAAUUAAAUAGACAAGGUUAAGUUGGCAAAAUCAACUCCAACCUACCCCUUAUUAAGUUGCCCAACAAAUUUAUUAAGUGUCACAUCUGUCAAGAUCAUCCAACAACUGUAAUGGCAUAGUGGCUCAAAUUUACCCAUAACCGGGGGCACGGCUAAUCAUGAUUAGUUUUAAUACUCUGCAGAGUUUAGUACGCUUUACCCACUGGACCCAAUCUGAAGAUUGAGACGAAGUCUUUCAGAAGAGGUUCCCUUAACCACCUGACGGCCACAUCCCACCUAUAUAUGCUACAUCUGUCGACACUGUCUGGGCCAGGGUUCCAACAACUGAUCAACUAAGCCAGAGUCCAUAUAGCCAGUGGCCGCACAUGGAAGCUACUAGUCACUAAGUCUGUCUGAUCUUUUUGAACCUGGGCGGCAUUCCACUUAGGGUGCACUCUCAUGAGCGCAUGGCCUUAGAAAAGGUGCAAGACCCCAUGAUGCCUUCCCUCAACACCAAGCAAUACCACUUCCGCCCAGAGGUGAGUUAAAUCCUGAGUUACUACUCAAUUUGUUAAAUAUAUAAUCCUCACAUAAGCUCAAUGAAUACUCAAACCAACCCCGUCUACAAAGCAUAGCAAAACUACAACUACCACGAUCUGCAAUGACGGGAGAUAGCUCAACAAUAUAGCAAAAAUAUAAUAAUCCUAUAAAUGCAUAUAUUCAUAGUGUGAUAUAACUACAUGCAUAGAAAACAAUAGGUAAAGGAUGAUCAACAUGUAACUUGCCUUGGUUCUGGUUCAGAAAGUCACACUCCUGACAAUAGCUCGCGUCGCACUCCGGACAAUCUACACGUUUCACACAAUUCAACAAAUCAAUCACCGGAACACGAAUAGAACCAAAACAAAACCAACAGCAAGAAAACCAUUUUUAAAACUCAACAACAGAAGCUUAACAGCACCUAAAAUGCACUACGAUCACAAUGCAAAAAGAAUCACUCGAUUCCGGUAAACGGUUUGAGAGUUAUGGCCUCCGGAAGAUUUAUUUCAAAUUCAAACGAAUUCAAAUUUGAAAAGUGCAAACAUGUGCAAAGUCGGUACUGUGAUAAUGUGCUGAUUUUUGUGAGAUCAUAGGAAAAAGAAUCACCUAAUUUGGACAUAUAGGUUAAGAGAUAUAGCUAGUUGAAGUUUUGGUGAAAAUCUGAAAAUAAAACAAAAGAAAACUCUGUUCAGGAAACACUGUAGCGGUUACUGUGGCGUUUACUGUAGCGGUGCCAAG
Molecule: long non-coding RNA, 8316 nt
Filed under: Triticum aestivum (bread wheat)
Lineage: Eukaryota; Viridiplantae; Streptophyta; Magnoliopsida; Poales; Poaceae
Description: long non-coding RNA (TAES_LNC008841)
Source: RNAcentral